GUGGAGUCUUGCAUUCUCCAUGCACAUGAACCAAUACCCUAACUGGAUGUGCCCCAAAACGCUCUGAUGCAAAUAUGAACCAUGAAGGAAUGCACUUGAAUUCCAGAAUGCUGGAAAUGAAGGAAGUCCAGGAAGAGGAACGAGCAGAGCUGGGGACCAGCUGUAGGGGCAGCCUUCCAACAGGUUUCUCACUUCUCGAAUCCCUGUGGAUGCGACAUUGGGAGGAGACGUGGCACGUCUGCUGUAGACAGAGUUCCUAUCAAGUUCAGCCAUACACAGCUUUCCCUGGAGAGGCAGCAAGCAUCAGAUACUUUUAGACCCAUCCCUGUGCUUACAGGCUUCCAGGGGCUGCAGCAAAGCGGGACUUGCCUCUCUUGGACAUUCACCUCAUUUCUCCAGCUGGCAUAAGCAGGGC
Long non-coding RNA from Cygnus olor (mute swan), 415 nucleotides. RefSeq lists it as uncharacterized. NCBI's taxonomy places the organism in Eukaryota, Metazoa, Chordata, Aves, Anseriformes, Anatidae. The transcript has 3 exons. The record is from RefSeq and is a predicted model, not a curated record.